RNAcentral lists this long non-coding RNA (910 nucleotides) under Gallus gallus (chicken). Lineage: Eukaryota; Metazoa; Chordata; Aves; Galliformes; Phasianidae. The record is from RNAcentral.
CUUCACUAAAUUACAAGAAAUUUGAAUAACAGCAACAAAAUGGCACAUAAAAUGUAAAAUCUGCCACUUGAGGCGCAACUUAAACAAGUAAAAAGUUAGACAAAAUGUUACAAAAUAACCUUUUCGACAGCUGGUUGCUCAUGCCAGGGGUCUCUCCAAUGGACUGUAGACUCAAGCGAUCCUUUCCCCCCAAAGGCGUCCUUUAUGUAGAUUCUCAUUUAUCUGAUGCAUCAUUUUCCUAGGAGGACACAGCUCCUUCCUCUUCCGGAGACUUGGGAGGGCUCUUAGACCUGGAUCUGGAGUUGGAUUCCCUCUUUGAAGUUGGUGGAGGGCUCCUAGAUCUGGACCGAGAUCUCGACCUGGACCGAGAUCUGGAGACAGACGAGGACUUUGACUUGGAUCUCCUGGCAGAUCUGGACUUCGAGGUGGAGCGCGAGCGGGAGCGUGUGCGAGAGCGGGACUUGGAGCGGCUGUAGCGAGAUCGGCUGCGGGACCGAGAGCGGCUCCUGCUUCUCGAUCGGCUGCGGCGGCGUCUCCUAGGGCUGCGGCUGCGGCGGCCGUAACCGCUGCUCCCGUAGCGGCGGGGCGGAGGGCCGCGGCGGCUGUGGUGCGAGUCCGGGGGGCGGCCGUAGCGGGCCAUCUGCACGCGGAGCUCGCGGCCAUCCAGCACGGCCCCGUCCAUGGCGUCCAUCGCGUCCUCGGCGUCGCGUUUGUCGUGGAAACGGACGAAUGCGAACCCGCGGCUCUCCUUGGUGUAGCGGUCCCGGGGGAUGUAGACGUCGCCCACGCGGCCGUACUUCUCGAAAACCCUCCGGAGAGUGUCCGGGGACGUCCGGUAGGUCAGGUUGUCCACCUUGAGGGACGUCAUGCCCUCCACGUCUGGCGGAGGGCGCCCGUAGCUCAUGGCGGG